GUCCACGCCCUAAACGAUGGGCACUAAGUGUAGCCGGCGAAGGCCGGCUGUGCCGCAGCUAACGCAGUAAGUGCCCCGCCUGGGGAGUACGGCCGCAAGGUUGAAACUCAAAGGAAUUGACGGGGGCCCGCACAAGCGGUGGAGCAUGUGGUUCAAUUCGACGCAACGCGAAAAACCUUACCUGGGUUUGACAUGCAGGUGGUACUGAACCGAAAGGGGAUGGACCCCGCAAGGGGAGCCUGCACAGGUGCUGCAUGGCUGUCGU
RNAcentral lists this ribosomal RNA (265 nucleotides) under uncultured bacterium. RNAcentral's name for it is "partial 16S ribosomal RNA". It matches the Rfam family "Bacterial small subunit ribosomal RNA", at positions 793 to 1055 of the family's 1533-position model. The record is from RNAcentral.